GAUUGAACGCUGGCGGCAUGCCUUACACAUGCAAGUCGAGCGCGAAAGGGGGGCAACCCCGAGUAGAGCGGCGGACGGGUGAGUAACGCAUCGGAACGUGCCCAGUAGUGGGGGACAACCUCGAGAAAUCGAGGCUAAUACCGCAUACGACCCACGGGUGAAAGCGGGGGACCGCAAGGCCUCGCGCUAUUGGAGCGGCCGAUGUCCGAUUAGCUAGUUGGCGGGGUAAGAGCCCACCAAGGCGACGAUCGGUAGCUGGUCUGAGAGGACGACCAGCCACACUGGGACUGAGACACGGCCCAGACUCCUACGGGAGGCAGCAGGU
RNAcentral lists this ribosomal RNA (325 nucleotides) under uncultured bacterium. Its description in RNAcentral is "bacterial SSU rRNA". It matches the Rfam family "Bacterial small subunit ribosomal RNA", at positions 27 to 355 of the family's 1533-position model. The record is from RNAcentral.